RNAcentral lists this ribosomal RNA (253 nucleotides) under uncultured bacterium. RNAcentral describes it as "partial 16S ribosomal RNA". It matches the Rfam family "Bacterial small subunit ribosomal RNA", at positions 524 to 776 of the family's 1533-position model. The record is from RNAcentral.
UACGAGGGGGGCAAGCGUUGUUCGGAAUUAUUGGGCGUAAAGGGCGCGUAGGCGGCCGAAUAAGUCUGACGUGAAAUCCCCCGGCCCAACCGGGGAACUGCGUUUGAUACUGUUUGGCUCGAGUCCGGGAGAGGGUAGUGGAAUUCCCAGUGUAGCGGUGAAAUGCGUAGAUAUUAGCAGGAACACCGGUGGCGAAGGCGGCUAUCUGGACGACAACUGACGCUGAGGCGCGAAAGCGUGGGGAUCAAACAGG